This 94-nucleotide microRNA precursor is filed under the name Cordylochernes scorpioides. Lineage: Eukaryota; Metazoa; Arthropoda; Arachnida; Pseudoscorpiones; Chernetidae. The record is from RNAcentral.
CCUUGAGGCGGCCUAGAAUGGACAGGGCACGGUCGCAUACCCAUUGGAGGUGGGAGUCGAAGGUGAACCUGUCAUUGAAGACCACCCCGAGGGC